Molecule: ribosomal RNA, 404 nt
Filed under: Azadinium dalianense
Lineage: Eukaryota; Dinophyceae; Gonyaulacales; Amphidomataceae
Description: partial small subunit ribosomal RNA
Rfam family: Eukaryotic small subunit ribosomal RNA
Source: RNAcentral
GCUUGUCUCAAAGAUUAAGCCAUGCAUGUCUAAGUACAAGCCUCAGUAAGGUGAAACCGCGAAUGGCUCAUUAAAACAGUUAUAGUUUAUUUGAUGGUCGUUCCUUACAUGGAUAACUGUGGUAAUUCUAGAGCUAAUACAUGCACCCAUGCCCGACUUUGUGGAAGGGUUGUGUUUAUUAGUUACAGAACCAACCCAGGCUCUGCCUGGUCUUGUGGUGAUUCAUAAUAACCGAACGAAUCGUAUGGCAUCAGCUGGCGAUGAAUCAUUCAAGUUUCUGACCUAUCAGCUUCCGACGGUAGGGUAUUGGCCUACCGUGGCAAUGACGGGUAACGGAGAAUUAGGGUUCGAUUCCGGAGAGGGAGCCUUAAAAACGGCUACCACAUCCAAGGAAAGGCAGCAGG